Molecule: long non-coding RNA, 4354 nt
Filed under: Mus musculus (house mouse)
Lineage: Eukaryota; Metazoa; Chordata; Mammalia; Rodentia; Muridae
Description: long non-coding RNA chr1:72365251-72369605
Source: RNAcentral
CCUUCCGUGAGCAAAUACUUUCUGUCUGAAGUGAAGUCCUAUUUCUAGAAAAAUCUAGUGGAAUCGUUCACUGGCAGUGUUUUGCCUCCAGCUUUGGACUGAUGGUGUUUUUGAGGUAGUCCGCAUUAGUGUAUAGCAGAACUUGACCCCUGUGUGUCAGCAGGUUGCUUAUUCCUCAGCAGCGCAAGUACAGAGCCUUACCUUUGACCUGCUUAGCUCUUCAGGAGCACCACCUCAUGUUCAUCCAUGAUGGACACGUGCAUUGGUUCAGAUUGUGCUGCUCUGACAUUUGUACGCAAGGGUGCUUUGCAUGUGUUGAACUUUCUGAAAAAAAAUUUAAAAUGUAUUAUUAUUAUUAUUGUUACUAAUUUGUGUGUGUGUUUGUAUGUUUGUGUGCAUGUGCAUGUUCAUGUGUGUGUCUGUGCACUCCUUUGCAUGUGUGUAUAUAUGCUUGUGGACUAGCCUCAUGCCCUGUAUGGAGGUCAAAGGAGGCUGUUCUUUUUCUUCCACAGUGGGUUCCAGGGAUUGACCCCAAGUUAUCAGGCAGUUCCACCCAAUGAGCUGUCUUACUGAUCCCAUUUUAACUUUCCAGAAGCAGCCACACUCUUAAAAAGAAGCCUAUCAUACAAACACACAGCGUUUCUGUUGAGAUUGUUUUAAAGUGUAGCUGUUUGUAUACUAUUCGUGUGUCUUGUGUGUGUGUAUAUGUAUGUAUGAAUUGACAUUCCAAGUUUUUGAUGACUUUUAACCAGUUUUAUCAUAUUGAGAUACAGAGAUAUGUAUGUUCUGGUUAAGUUAAUUAUGUAAGUGUGUGUGUGUUAUGUGUGUGUGCCACAUGUGUGUGGACGCCCACAGAAGUGUGUGUGUUAUGUGUGUGCGCCACGUGUGUGUGGACGCCCACAGAAGCUUUGACUCCUAGAGAAGGAGUCAUGGGGAGUUGCGAGCCACCUGAUGAGACUAAACUUGGGCCCUGUGAGAGAGCUGUGUGCUCAGGAGCAGGCUUUCAGGUCAGGUCCACCUCAGAUCUCCAGGGCCUGUGUCCCAAGGGGCCGGUAUCUUCCUUCAGGGACUUACUUUCAACCAAGGGCUGUGUCAGUAUUCACCUUGGUUUUAAAUUCUAGGCCUCUCACUGGUUUGGAGCUCAGUAUAUAACCUGGGCUGCUGGUCUUUUCUUACAUAGGCCUUUACAGCCAGACAUCCAAUCUGAGCAGUUCUUCAGCCGUACAUCCUAAAUUGUGUGUUGUGAGCUUAGUUUUUAACAUUUUCCAGUAUCUUUCAUGAUUUUUUUUUUUUUUUUGAGACAGGGUUUCUCUGUGUAGCCCUGGCUGUCCUGGAACUCACUUUGUAGACCAGGCUGGCCUCGAACCCAGAAAGCUUGCCUCUGCCUCCCAAGUGCUGGGACUAAAGGCGUCUGCCACCACGCCCGGCUCCCCUGGGUUAUUUUGAAACAUUUGUUUUAUUUGUUUGGCUUUGCCUUUUGAGUCAGGGUCUCAUUAUGUAGUUCAGGCUGCCCUUGAACCUGCUAUAUCCUGUACACCAGUCUGGCCUUGAACUCAUUUCUUUUUCCCUUAGCCUUCCAGGUUCUGGAAUUACAGACAUGUGCCACUAUGCCAAGCAAUAAAUGUAUUAUGAAUUUUUCAAAUAUUGACAACUUUCCAACUCACUGUUGGUUUUGAAUUGAAUUCUGCUAUGAUUAAAAAGCAUUAGGAAUAGUGUGGAGCCUUUUUCUGAGACCUUUUAUGGCUUACCACAUAGUUUCCACUGACAUGUUCCCUGUGGCCUAACAAGGCGAGUGCAUUCUGCUGCCCUUAGCUGAAGGGUUCUGGGAGUGUUGGUUUGGCUGAUCAUUUGUUCUGAUGCAUGUCUUUGUUGAUUUUCUAUCUAGUGCUGGGUAUUGAAAGUUAUUCACCUCGAGAGCUUUUGAGCUAGUGAGACCUUUGUAAUCUUCGUCACUUACAGAGGUGAAUUUCUACACGGCACCAAAAAGAAAACGUGGUCACAAGUUAUCAUCGUUUUAGAAAAAUGAACUCAGAUACAUUUGUUGCAAGGUUAUACUUGUUUUUAGAACCCUCUACCUUUCAAAAAGAAUUUGUUCAUAUCGUUAAAAGGUAAGGAUAUUCAGGGUAGGAAAUAUUAUAUAGAUUUCAGAAUUUCUUAGAGCAUAAAGGUCAUUCCUUGUGAGACACAAACAGAAUUUUAAUAACAGUAGAUGCUUUAGUGUCUUGGGUCUUACACCAGUGUUUAUAAUUGGCAGAAUUGUUGGUUUGUUACUCCUUUCAUCUGGGCUCUUUCUUUUAUGCUACUUUUAUUAAGCUCAUGUUAUUCUUUCAUCUUAUGUACUGAAAAGAAAAUGCAUAUGGAAUAAUCUAGGAUAUAUUAUUCCAUAAUUUGUUCCAUUUCUUUUUUUUCAAUAUAUUUAAAAAUGUUUAUUAAAAUUUUUUACACAUGUGUAAAAUAUAUAUAUAUAUAUAUUUAUGUGUGUAUAUAUACAUAUAUAAUAUGUGUAUGUGUAUAUAUAUAUAAAUAUAUAUAUAAAUAAAUAAUGUGUUUGCGUGUGUGUGUGAGUGUGAAUGCCAUGUGUGUAUAAGUAGGUACCUGCAGUGAGCAGUUAAAGAGGGUCAGAUCCUGGAGCUGGAGUUUUAGACAGUUGUGAGCUGCCAUAUGGGUGCUGGGAGUUGAACCUGGGUCAUCUGGAAGAGUAGCCAGUGCUCUUAACCAUUGAGUCAUUUUUCUAGCACCCUAAAAUGGAUUUUUGAGGGAUUGGAGGUGGUUCAGAACCACCUGUAGCUGUAGUUCCAGAGUGUCCUACCCUGUCUUCUGACUUUUUUAGGUAUGAGGAAGGCACAAGGUGCACAUACAUAUAGGAGGCAAAAGCUUACACACACACACACACACACACACACACACACACACACUCACACUCCCCCAAUAGACAGAAACGACAACAAAAAAUUAAUAAAAUUAUUUUUAAAGUUAUUUUUGAAUUGAUGCUUAAAAUAAAAAUUGAACAUAUUAAUGAGGUAGUAUGAUAUGUUAAACAUUUUUGAAAUGACUUUUAUUUGUGUAAGUAUUUUGUCUGCAUGUGAGUUAGAAAAUACAUACAGGAUAAUGUAGGCUGCAUUACAGCAAGUGUGCCUGGUACCUGAGGGAGAAGGUCAUAAGAAGGUGUGGGCUCCCUGGUUUGGAGUUCUAGAUAGUUGUAAGACAGUCUCGACUUUGUUGUGAAAGGAACCUCGACAAGAGACUGUCUAGACUAGGGUGGUUGGUGUGUCUAUGGGGGAUUAUGUUGAUUGUGUUAACUAGGUGGGAAGACUUGCCCACUGUGGGUGACAUCAUUCCAUUCUGGACUGUGUUAGUGGAGAGAAAUCUAGCUAAAGACAAAAAUACAUUCAUUACUUCAUUGCUUUCUGCCCUUGAGCAUGGAUGUGUAGUGUGACUCACUGUUUCAAGUUCUUGUAGCCUUGACUUCCACACUGAAGAAUUGUAACCUGAAUUGUGAGCAAAAUAAACCUUUUCCCUCUCAAAUUGCUUUUGCCAGGGUAAUUUAUCACAGCAACAGGAAAAGAAACAAAGGCAGUGUGUCUACAUAUAAUUACGAUCAUACUGGACAUGUCUCAACCCCUGUGUUGUAUAUAGUUUCUUACAUAGCUCAUUCUUUGUGGAUUUUCUUAAUCCAUUAAACAUCAUUGAAACUGUUUCCAUUUCUGUAAAAUUAAAAGGAGUUGGAGACUCUCUGUUUCCUUAAGUGAAUAGCAAAUAUACAGUAUGUUAUUUUAAAUUAAAGGAACUCCAAGAAAGCACCUUCAUUCCAAGAGGUUUUAGAAGAUCAGACCAGUGAGACUUGUAUCAUUUGUUCAUGGACUUAGCAAAGGUUUGUUGAAUGUUGUCUGUGAGCCAGUUAUAAUGGCAAGACAUAGAUAGCAAACAAAAUACUGUGUGUGCUCCAUAGUGAUUUGUACCUAGUAGUUUCCUAGUGCUCCUGGAGCGGAGUUAGACAAAUUGACUUAAAGCAUCAGAGAAUGCUUCAAAUUCAUGGCCGCUUUUUCCUUAAUUGUUGUUGGGAGUGCAUGUAUGUAUAUAAAUACAACCUGUUUGGACUGUAUACUGAUACUCCUACGUAUGUUUUUAGGGCUGAUCAUUUGGUGUUGGAUAACUAGUUGCAUAUUUUUCCCUGGGGAAGAUUGCUUCUUCUAUAGCUUAUCUGACAUUUUUAGGAGACAUAAUCUCACAGCCAACUUCCUGUUCCUCUGGCUCUUACAAUCUUUCUGCCCCCUCUUCAGGAAUGAUCCCUGAGUCUUAGGUACAGGAGUUGUAGAUGUAUUCUUGGAUGCUGUUAAUAAUGUAUUGCUCAAUU